Molecule: ribosomal RNA, 305 nt
Filed under: uncultured bacterium
Lineage: Bacteria
Description: partial 16S ribosomal RNA
Rfam family: Bacterial small subunit ribosomal RNA
Source: RNAcentral
ACAGCAGCAGCCGCGGGAAUACGGAGGGUGCAAGCGUUAUCCGGAUUUAUUGGGUUUAAAGGGUCCGUAGGCGGACUUAUAAGUCAGUGGUGAAAGCCUGUCGCUUAACGAUAGAACUGCCAUUGAUACUGUAAGUCUUGAGUAUAUUUGAGGUAGCUGGAAUAAGUAGUGUAGCGGUGAAAUGCAUAGAUAUUACUUAGAACACCAAUUGCGAAGGCAGGUUACCAAGAUAUAACUGACGCUGAGGGACGAAAGCGUGGGUAGCGAACAGGAUUAGAUACCCCCGUAGUCCCUGUCUCUUAUAC